CUUGGCAGUACGUAACUCUUCCGUUCGAUAGAAUUCGGGAGUAAAAAUGGCAGUGUUCAGUAGAUUAUUAUUCGGAAAUAAUCAAAAAUUGUUACAAACUAAUGGAUUACUGACAAAACUGCUGAAUAAGAAUAGUCCAUUACUUAAUAAACAAACAGGAAGUCUAAGAUGCAUGUCAGAGCAUCGAACAAUACCUAUACAUGCAAGUCGCUGGCAAUGGCAUAAAACCAAGGAUUGGAUACACUUCUACUUUUUCGUGGGUGCUAUACCUGUUGCUCUGAUUAUUUUCUAUGCAAACGUGUUUAUAGGCCCUGCAACACUAGAAGAAAUACCAGAAGAUUAUGUUCCACAACGAUGGGAAUAUUUUCGAUCUCCAAUUACAAGAUUCCUUGCAAGAUACGUGUUUCCAAACCCACAGCAAGAAUACGAGAAGCUUCUUGCCUAUUUGGAAAUUACCGAUGCAAAAAGGAGAUUGCGAUUGCUACAUAAUCAAUUUAUCGAUAAUAUCAAGGAUCAUCAGGAUUAUCCAGCAUAUUCUUAUCAUAGAGCUAUGAAAUUUACGUACAUCAAAGAAUAUAGGAAAAUGAUGGAUGAGGGAACAGUAUAAUUCAUUUGAAUCUGUUACAGUUGAUUUAUAUACAUAGUGCACCCAAAUAUUGUACAAAACAAUAUGUUUCAAGGAUCACAAGGGAAUUGUACUUCUUGUGCAUAGGUGUCUUCUCUUGAAGAGCAGAUAUUAUUGCAAAAGGAAAUGUUGGAAAAUAAACGAAGUAACGUUUGCCAAUGGGA
RNAcentral lists this unclassified non-coding RNA (789 nucleotides) under Megachile rotundata (alfalfa leafcutting bee). Its description in RNAcentral is "nADH dehydrogenase [ubiquinone] 1 beta subcomplex subunit 5, mitochondrial, transcript variant X1". The record is from RNAcentral. Lineage: Eukaryota; Metazoa; Arthropoda; Insecta; Hymenoptera; Megachilidae.